UCUUACUAUAAGAAAGAUAGAUGUUGUUUCACGAAGGGAUGUGAGCUAAAUAUAUAUGUUUAAUAGAAUAGUUACUACGUUGUAUAGUAGAGUGAAAUAUGUAUUUAGGGGUGACAGGCCUUUCAAACCUUCCGAUAGCUUGUUAUGUAUUAAAAAUAUUAAGUAUUGAGCCAAACUUAAAAAGUUAAGCUUUUAAGUUAAUAUAAGAUUUGUGGAACCUUUAUAACACAGUAUAAUAGCUAGUUAUAUUCUAAUAUUAAUAUUAAGUUUUAGUGACUAUAAGUUAUUAAUACAUUUUUGCUUCUUAUAAGUUAAUGGAGAAUGUAAGAAUUAGUAAUUGUAUUAAGUAUAACAAAGGAACUCGGCAAUGGAAAAUUGUUCAACUGUUUAUCAAAAACAUAGCUAUAUGAUAUAUUAUAUAGUUGUUUCUGNNCCAUGAUUAUUAAAUAGCCGCAGUACUUUGACUGUGCUAAGGUAGCAUAAUCAGUUGGCUCUUAAUUAGGGUCUAGGAUGAAAGAAAGCAUGGGCAAUAUCUGUCUUGUUAUAUUUAUACUAAGUUUGUCAGUAAGUGCAAAUACUUACAAUAAUAUAAAAGACGAGAAGACCCUAGAAACUUGAGAAAGACGUUUUGUUGGGGCGACAGAAUUACAUAAAACUAAUUUUAUUUACGUGAUGUAAUAAAGUAAGAAUAAGUUACUCUAGGGAUAACAGCAUAAUUUAAAUAGUUUGUGACCUCGAUGUUGGACUAGGUAUGGUACCCUUUAGAUAAGAGUACCAUCUGCUCUGUUCGAGCAACUAAUACCUACAU
RNAcentral lists this ribosomal RNA (808 nucleotides) under Maltzanella dickhauti. RNAcentral's name for it is "Helix dickhauti partial 16S ribosomal RNA". The record is from RNAcentral. Lineage: Eukaryota; Metazoa; Mollusca; Gastropoda; Stylommatophora; Helicidae.